Molecule: ribosomal RNA, 2108 nt
Filed under: terrestrial metagenome
Description: bacterial LSU rRNA
Rfam family: Archaeal large subunit ribosomal RNA
Source: RNAcentral
AUGCCUGUCAGUGGAUGGCUCGGUUCGAGUGCCGAAGAAGGGCGUGCCAAGCUGCGAUAAGCUCCGGGAAGACGCAUGGAGUCUACGAUCCGGAGAUCCCCUAAUGGGACAUCCCAGCACUUCGGUGUUGAUCCGUAAGGAUCGGGAACCCCCCGAACUGAAACAUCUCAGUAGGGGGAGGAAAAGAAAUCAACCGAGAUGUCGUUAGUAGAGGCGAUCGAACACGACAGAGUUCAAACUGAAUCCCGAAAGGGAGAUGUGGUGUGGUAAGCCUGCCGUCUGGAUGCCAGGGCGAAGUAGAAGUCCUCUGGAACGAGGCACCAUAGAGGGUGAUAGUCCCGUAUGCGUAAGCUGAGGUAUCCUGGCAGUGUCUUGAGUACCGCGGGUUGGAAUUCUCGCGGGAAUCUGGGGGUCAUCAACCUCCAAAACUAAAUACUACUCGAAACCGAUAGCGCAUUAGUAGCGUGAGCGAAGGCUGAAAAGUAUCCCCGUAAAGGUGGUGAAAAGUGCCUGAAACUGAUAGGUGAUGGUGAGUUGCGGCGCGAAAGGAUCUUCCACGUGAAGGAACCCGUCGCGAGGCGGUAGUACGGGCGUGGUUGCCGGUGUCGUAACGUACGUUUUGAAGAACGGGCCAGAGAGUUUAUUCUGCAGGCGAAGGUUAACCCAAAAGGGGAGCCGGAGGGAAACCAACAGGUCCGUAGCCUUCGGGCAUGGGACGGCGUAUUAAAAGUGCGUGGAGUCUGCAGGAUAAGACCCGAAGCCCAGCGAUCUAUGCGUGGGCAGGUUGAAGCGUGCCGAAAGGCGCGUGGAGGACCGCAAGCGGUUUUGAUAUGCAAAUCAUUCGCGUGACCUGCGUAUAGGAGUGAAAGAUUAAUCGAGCUGGGCAUCAGCUGGUUCCUCCCGAAACAUGCCGUAGCAUGACCUGGCCGGAGAUAGACGGUGAGGUAGAGCACUGAUUGGGGGAGCCGGGGGAGAAAUCCCUCGCCCUCCUGUCAAACUCCAAACUCCCCGUCGUCGUAGAUGGCUGGCAGUCCGGACUGCGGGGUAAGCUUGUAGUCCGUAAGGGAGACAACCCAGACCGUGGUUAAUGUCCCUCAAUGUAGGCUAAGUGUCAACACUGAAAGGCGUCCCAGGCCAAAGACAACUGGAAGGUUAGCUUAGAAGCAGCUAUCCUUUAAAAAGUGCGUAAAAGCUUACCAGUCGAGGUUUGGGGCACUGAAAAUGGACGGGGCUGAAGCCUACUACAGAGACCACGGACCACGCGCAAGCGUGAUGUCGUAGGGAGGCGUGCUGCCUGGGCAGAAGCAGGGGCGUAAGCUCCUGUGGACCGGGUAGUAAUGAGAAUUCUGGCAUUAGUAGAAGCAAAGUUGGGUGAGAAUCCCAACCGCCGGAGGGGCCAGGUUUCCUCGGCAAUGUUCGUCAGCCGAGGGUUAGUCGGUCCUAAGGUGUGCCGUAAUUCGAGCACAUCGAAAGGGAAACAGGUUAAUAUUCCUGUACCAUUCAUCCGCAGCGGUUUACCGCCCUGACGCUUUGGGAUAUGCCUGGCAGGGUCGUCGCCCUGUCCAAGCGAUCAAACUCGUGGAGUACCGUAAUGGUGAGAAGCGAGUGAAGGCGUGAUGGAGCAAUCAGGCAAAUUCCUGGAGCCCGUGAAAAGGGGGAUGAAUGACCGUACCGAGAUCUGACACAGGUGCCCCUAGCUGAAAAGGCUAAGGCGUGUCGGUGUAAUCGUGUUAAGGGAACUCGGCAAAUUAGCCCCGUAACUUCGGGAGAAGGGGUGCCUGCCUGGCGAUCAGGCAGGUCGCAGUGACCAGGGGGCUCUGACUGUCUAAUAACAACAUAGGUGACUGCAACUCGGAAACGAUUAGUAUAGUCACUGAUUCCUGCCCAGUGCGAGUAUCUGAAAACCGGGUUCAACCGGGCGAAGGACUCGUAAACGGCGGGGGUAACUAUGACCCUCUUAAGGUAGCGUAGUACCUUGUCGCUUAAUUGGCGACUUGCAUGAAUGGAUUAACGAGAGCCCUACUGUCCCUAACACGAAACCGUUGAACAUUUUAUCCUAGUGCAGAGACUAGGGACUCCAGAUGGGAAGUGAAGACCCCGUGGAGCUU